GCCCUUGUAGCUCAGUGGCAGAGCACCUCCAUGGUAAGGAGGGGGUCGUGGGUUCAAUCCCCACCGAGGGCUC
Molecule: transfer RNA, 73 nt
Filed under: uncultured Acidimicrobiaceae bacterium
Lineage: Bacteria; Bacillati; Actinomycetota; Acidimicrobiia; Acidimicrobiales; Acidimicrobiaceae
Also listed under: 1 other name
Description: tRNA-Thr
Rfam family: tRNA
About the family: Transfer RNA (tRNA) molecules are approximately 80 nucleotides in length.
Source: RNAcentral